ACUAUUAAUAAGUGAAGGCUUAGGUACGACGAAGGGUAUUUAAGUAAAUUUAAACUUCUUUUAUGGCUAAAUUCUAAACGUUUGUCUGUCUUGAAAAAUAAACAGUAUCCCACUAGAAGGUUCCAUUCUUUUACCACUUUAGUUUCCCUUUCAAUUUCCUCUCUUCCAUCCACCGUCUUCUCUCCUAAAUCAGAGUUUCUAUCACUGGAUCCUUUCAGAGAUUAUUCAUUUUGUGGCUAUCUUGCAAAGGCUAUUCGCUUCGUCUAAUGUUUCUGGUCCAAGCUCCAGUUGUCGUAAGUUUUCUUGCCAAUUAAUCUUUUCUUAUUCCACAUGUUUCUGGGUAAAAUUUUGUUAGAUUCUUACAUGUCUGUCAGUAUUUUCUUCCGAUCGUCACAUGCAUAUCUAGAAAUAGAUACUCAAUGCGUGUUUUGAUUAAUUCUCUAAUGGCUUAAUUGCUUGAGAAAAUUACUGAUCGAAAUCCUCUAAUAGCAAUUUGUCAGUAUUCUCGCUAUAAAAUGAGUACGACAAAAUUAGUACGUCUUCGAGAUUAUUUAAAGUAUCAAAUUUUUCUUGCUAAUUGUUGAUACGUGCCAAAUUCCGAUAUUUAGGUGAUAUCUUAAUUCUCAACCCCAGGUUUUUCCUUACAAGGAUGAAAAAUCAGUUUGCUUAAGGGCAACUCCAAUCUGGAUUUAUAUCAUCUGCUCAUUUUUUUUUUUGUUACGGAAGUGAGCUUCUUUAACAUAUGGGAUUCGAUAAAUGUAUCUUGAUGAUACGCGAUGAAGGAUUAUGGGAGGUGAAUAAUAUGGGAGAUAGUAAAGGAAGGCUUCCUUGCAAGUAAAAGCUUCCCCAAUGAAGAUUAUAUGGAAAAGGGAUUCUAAUCGGUUCGUUCUUGUGGCUGGAAUUAUUUGGGGUUGUCCUAUUCCUGUAGCAGAUAAUCCAAAAAAGAUUGAUAUAUCGAAAAGGAGAUCUCUAUAAAAGGGUGUCCAAUCGCUUUCUUACUUUAUGGAGGAUGUUACAAAGAAUCGAUGGAUCUCGCCUACCACUUCCAUUUGGAGGACAUACGGCAACUGGAAGAUGAGACCUUUAUAGCAAAACCAAAAAUGAAGGUGAACAUACCGGCUUAUCUAACUUAAUUUGAAACUUCAGCUGUUUCUGCACCUAUUUGUUGCAUUUUACCUGGGCCAGUUUCCUCUCCUUUAUUUAAACUUUGGUAAAGACUAAUUUUUGCUCAUAGGAGCAGCGAAAAAUGAUUUGAAAAUGAAAUCUACCUUAGCUUUGACUCUAUGUACUAUAUAUAACAUAUAUUUUAAGUAUAAAUCAGGUUUGGUACUAUCUUGCUCCUUAAUUACUUACUCUUUUGACAUGCGUUUGCAUAUUGCAAUCAAAGUAUUUUAAGUGUGUACCAAGUGAUAACAUCAUCAAAAUGGCUUGAAAAAGGUUGCUAUGCUCACCAAGUGAAUGUGAUUAUCUUCUGCUAAUAAAUGCAAUUGAUCAGGAAAGAGGAAUGAAAAUAUGUUACAUACUCAGGGCACCAUGUUUCUAAUUCCUGAGGAUUUGAUUCUUUUUGUUAUUCUCACAGUUCUUUUAAUGUAUAUAUGUGCUUGUUAAAAUAGUUCCUGUUCUUUUUCAACUAAUAAUUGAGCAAAGUCAAGAGUUUGUUGUUGUAAUAACAUGCUGGAAUGAACUUCGUUGUGACCCGAUUGCCAUUGUUUCCUAUUUUGUUUUUGAGACUCAUUACCAUUUCCUCUUCAAAGAACUGUUGCAGUAAAAAAAGACUUCAUUCCCGUAUUUUACUAAUUUUUAUACUUUAAUAGAUUAUAAAUGCUAUGGAUUUUAAUAUUUUAAUACAGACACUAUCAACAUUUUCUUAUUGUUUCUUCUACUGGAUUUUUUUUAGCGAUGUAAUAAGUUUUUUUUUUUCUUUUAUAAAACUUCUUGGCUUUCACGAAUUGAAGAUGUGACAUUAUUUUCUUUGAGAAAUCCUUCUGAGGUUCCUUCAUGCUUAAGUAUUUGUACAACUUCCUGGUGGAUGCUUCGCAUUCUUAGUAUUUACAAAUUUUAAUAUGUUAAAUCUUUCCCAUUUUAAAGAUCAUUCUACCGGAAACUUUUUAAGCUGUGCGUUUGCAAUCAUUGAAGAAAUCUACUGUGAGUUAGAGGGUUCAGCUGAAAAAUAAGUAGGUUUCCCUCAAUUUCAUGACCAUAUAUGCAAUCUGGGGCACUUGGUACCUCGAUGUCAUUGGUUCCCAUACCAUUGGGUGUGCACUCUAAUCCUUUUGUGUUUUAGCAUUCUUGUGUAGAAAUUUGCUAGAAACUUUUCAUAUUUAUGAUUAUGCGAUGCCAUCAGUAACAACACUUUUUGUCUAUAGGCACUGUCAGCAUUUCAAGACAAUGAGUAGUGAAGAAGUUGGAAUGGGAGGUUACCUUGGGUUAUGUGAUUCCUUUGAUCCUAACGUUCCAUUCUAACACAGCUUCCUGGUCCGUACUAUCACUGUUGUGAGGUUUGAUCUUUACCUUAUUAAAAAAAAAAGCUACUUUUUUCAUUCAAUUGAUGUUUUUUUAGUUUUUGUUUUGAUAUCAGUCAGAUGUGCCUCAGAUUAUUAUUAUUUUUUGGCGAAGCCUCAACUACUUUUUUUCCCUGCAAAAUAACCAGGGUUCAAAGCUUGCCCCACUUUCUCCUCCCGACAAUAUUUUACAAGUGCUAUUGAUUGUUCCUCGAGGAAAUAAGAUAUGAAAUAAGAUCAUAAAGCAAAGAGCAAUUGCAAAAAGGCAACUGAGGAAUGUUUUGGAAUACAAGCUUUAAGUAAUGUGGUCAUGAAAGAGUUUCAUUCGGCAACAACUUACUUUUGUUAUCAACCACGGUACAAUUUGUUAUCGGCAUAACUAUCAAAAUUCAAAUUCCAUGCCACUGUAACAUAUCUCAUACAUAUGUUGGUCCACCUAUAAUUCACUAUUUCUGUCAAGCUCACUGUAUAACU
Molecule: long non-coding RNA, 2975 nt
Organism: Lycium ferocissimum
Lineage: Eukaryota; Viridiplantae; Streptophyta; Magnoliopsida; Solanales; Solanaceae
Exons: 8
Source: RefSeq, a predicted model, not a curated record